RNAcentral lists this long non-coding RNA (556 nucleotides) under Gallus gallus (chicken). RNAcentral describes it as "long non-coding RNA NONGGAT011762". The record is from RNAcentral. Lineage: Eukaryota; Metazoa; Chordata; Aves; Galliformes; Phasianidae.
GUGAGAGUUACUUCUGUCUGGAAGAAGGACUUUCUUCCUCUUCAUCUCCUUCAUAGCUAUGUAUAUUCUGUCCUUGCUUUAUUUAUGUCCUCUUGAGUUGAUUUACUUCAUUUAUUAAUCUAGUUAUCCCUCACCCACUCCAGAAAGAAAAAAGUAAAGAGUUUUCCACUGACUAAGUCAUGUGAAUCAAUUCAGGAAGGACUCUAACAAGUACUGAGGAAGUGGAAACCUGUGGCAAAAAGCAGCAAGGAGAAAAAAGCAGGGUGACAGAGGGUGUUGAGAUUCACUUUGCAGGAAUAGCUACUUGAGAGUUCUGAUGAGAGCAGUAUGACAAAAAUACUAAGAAAAGAAGAUGGUCCAACUCUGAUUUUAAUUAUGUUUUAUUUCAGCAUUUGGCAUUUGGAAGUUCUCAGAGAUCUGCAUCUGAGGACAUAGUGUAGGUGACUGUGCAGGAGGAAAACUGAGGUGCUUGAUGGAUGUCUUAACUCUUGACGAAAUGAAAGUCCUUGCGUGUAAGUGAAACCUUCUUCUGUAUAGGAUGUUAACUUAGUUUAGU